This 468-nucleotide ribosomal RNA is filed under the name uncultured bacterium. RNAcentral describes it as "partial 16S ribosomal RNA". It matches the Rfam family "Bacterial small subunit ribosomal RNA", at positions 28 to 507 of the family's 1533-position model. The record is from RNAcentral.
GACGAACGCUGGCGGCGCGCCUAACACAUGCAAGUCGAACGGAGUCAAGAGGAGCUUGCUUUUCUUGACUUAGUGGCGAACGGGUGAGUAACGCGUGAGUAACCUGCCCUGGAGUGGGGGACAACAGUUGGAAACGACUGCUAAUACCGCAUAAGCCCACGGAUCCGCAUGGAUCUGCGGGAAAAGGAUUUAUUCGCUUCAGGAUGGACUCGCGUCCAAUUAGCUAGUUGGUGAGGUAACGGCCCACCAAGGCGACGAUUGGUAGCCGGACUGAGAGGUUGAACGGCCACAGUGGGACUGAGACACGGCCCAGACUCCUACGGGAGGCAGCAGUGGGGGAUAUUGCACAAUGGGGGAAACCCUGAUGCAGCGACGCCGCGUGGAGGAAGAAGGUUUUCGGAUUGUAAACUCCUGUCGUGAGGGACGAUAAUGACGGUACCUAACAAGAAAGCACCGGCUAACUACGUG